CCUUAACAUUCCAUUUUUUAGUAAAUUCAUCAAAUUUAGCAAAUUCAACUUUUCUUUUGUAAAAAGGGGUGAUAUUAAAAUGAGUAACAUAGUCAUCCAAGUAUUGAAUGAAUAGUUUUUUUGGUAUAUAAGUAGGUGAAGAAGAAGGAAAAGGAAUAUAAGGAAGUUGACAAAAUUGUUUAGCUAAAUGAAGAUGAACUCUAUCAUAAGAAUAUUUUUUCCACAUAGGAGAGUAACAAUCUUCUUUUUCAAGAAUGAGAUUUGGUAUACAUAAUUUAUUUAGACAUGCAGAUGUAGCAAGACCACCAGGCCCACCACCAACAAUGAUAACCAUAGG
Molecule: long non-coding RNA, 337 nt
Organism: Solanum stenotomum
Lineage: Eukaryota; Viridiplantae; Streptophyta; Magnoliopsida; Solanales; Solanaceae
Exons: 2
Source: RefSeq, a predicted model, not a curated record